RNAcentral lists this ribosomal RNA (253 nucleotides) under uncultured bacterium. Its description in RNAcentral is "partial 16S ribosomal RNA". It matches the Rfam family "Bacterial small subunit ribosomal RNA", at positions 524 to 776 of the family's 1533-position model. The record is from RNAcentral.
GACAGAGGGUGCAAACGUUGCUCGGAAUUACUGGGCGUAAAGCGCGUGUAGGCUGACCGGAAAGUCGGGCGUGAAAUCCCUGGGUUCAACCCAGGAACUGCACUCGAAACUCCCGGUCUUGAGUGGUGGAGAGGGAAGUGGAAUUCCUGGUGUAGAGGUGAAAUUCGUAGAUAUCAGGAGGAACACCAGUGGCGAAGGCGGCUUCCUGGACACCAACUGACGCUGAGACGCGAAAGCGUGGGGAGCAAACAGG